This is a long non-coding RNA of Sapajus apella (tufted capuchin), 102 nucleotides long. RefSeq lists it as uncharacterized. Lineage: Eukaryota; Metazoa; Chordata; Mammalia; Primates; Cebidae. The transcript is spliced from 3 exons. The record is from RefSeq and is a predicted model, not a curated record.
UUUUGCUGUGAUUGUAAGGCCUCCUCAGUCAUGUUGAACUAUGAGUCAAUUAAAACUCUUUCCUUUAUACAUUAUCCAGUCUCAGGCAAUUCUUUUUAGCAG